CGCAUGCGCAGUAGCGUAACUUCUUACGCUUGCAUAUUUUGUUAAGAAGAUAUUAUUAAAAGUUGUUCGUCUUGAUGAGGGCUACAACUUUGCUUAAUAUCUUUUUAACAAAUUAUGCCUAUUUAAGGAGAUUCGCCUACGCAUGCGCAGUAGCGUAACUCUUUACGCUUGCAUAUUUUGUUAAGAAGAUAUUAAUAAAAGUUGUUCGCCUUGAUGAGGGCUACAACUUUGUUUAAUAUCUUUUCAACAAAUUAUGCGUAUUUAAGGAGAUACGUCUGCGCAUGCG
Non-coding RNA from Paramuricea clavata, 286 nucleotides. The record is from the annotation of a GenBank genome assembly. NCBI's taxonomy places the organism in Eukaryota, Metazoa, Cnidaria, Anthozoa, Malacalcyonacea, Plexauridae.